RNAcentral lists this long non-coding RNA (515 nucleotides) under Ananas comosus (pineapple). RNAcentral describes it as "long non-coding RNA (ACOM_LNC019986)". Lineage: Eukaryota; Viridiplantae; Streptophyta; Magnoliopsida; Poales; Bromeliaceae. The record is from RNAcentral.
GGCCAGGGCAGAGUUAAUAGCGGAAAAGGGUUUUCGAUAUUAGAAACUCUAGUCGAAUAAAUUUAACAUAUGACAGACGAUGGGGUUUGACGAGUUAUUCCAUAACCUCCGUCUAGUCGGGACUCAUGAUAGAAGGAUUAUAUCACACGGUAACUGCACCAAGAGGUUCAGUAUUCCAUUCUACUGGAAUCCCACUAUAUGCUGCUAGGCGUCACUGGUGGAUUGUGAGACUCAUGAGAAUUAUCUAAAUGAUCGAUAAUUCUUAUUGGGCUGAGUUGGAAUUAUUCCGAUCCACUGAAAAGAGUUUCAGUGAUAUUGUUGAUAGUGAUCAAAAUAUAUCUCACUACCAGAUAGAAUAGAACCUAUGGGGUCACACACAUAAGAGAUUGUGAUUGAUCGGAUAGCUAGAUCGCGAUUAUUGAAUCGCCGAAGGACCUGAUUGUCAAUAUGUUGAUAAUUGGACUAAUUUGUAAUUAUUACAAAUUAGUGGUAUUAAAGUGUAAAUGUUACAAGAG